UAGAGUCUCUGAACUCCCAAACCUUUGUGAACAUACCACUGUUGCUUCGGCGGGAUCGUCCCGGGCGCGCCUCUGGGCGUGUCCCGGAUCCAAGGCGCCCGCCGAGGGUAUCAAACUCUCGUCUUUAUAGCGGACUUCUGAGUAAAAAACAAAAAUAAAUUA
This 162-nucleotide unclassified non-coding RNA is filed under the name uncultured Sarocladium. RNAcentral's name for it is "sequence contains ITS1". Lineage: Eukaryota; Fungi; Ascomycota; Sordariomycetes; Hypocreales. The record is from RNAcentral.